This 321-nucleotide long non-coding RNA is filed under the name Brassica napus (rape). RNAcentral describes it as "long non-coding RNA (BNAP_LNC001961)". Lineage: Eukaryota; Viridiplantae; Streptophyta; Magnoliopsida; Brassicales; Brassicaceae. The record is from RNAcentral.
CAGGAGUCUUUCUGCUAUGAGUAUUAUCUUAUAGAUUUCAAUAAAUAAAUACAAAAUAAUCUGAACCUCAUGGACCCAAAAUCAAUUCCGAAUUCAUCAUUUAUAACAUGAUUUUCUUAUAUUAAAAACUGAUUGUAUAACGUGCUCCAACCUUCUCAAACUCUUUAGCUACCCAUUCAUUUAUUUAGAAUUGUGAUAUUUAUCUUCCAUAGACGUUUUUAUUUAUCUUUGAAAAUAUGGUCGGCUAGGUAAAAGAACUAGGUUAACAAGUCAAAAGCUUGGAAAAACUUUUGUUAUGAAUAUUUCCCGUGAAGCUUUCAU